AUUCCAGCUCCAAUAGCGUAUAUUAAAGUUGUUGCAGUUAAAAAGCUCGUAGUUGGAUUUCUGGUGGGAGCGACCGGUCCGACGCUUAGCGUGGGUACUUGUGUCGUCUCCGGCCAUCCUUGGGGAGAGUCUGUCUGGCAUUAAGUUGUCGGGCAGAGGAUCCUCAUCGUUUACUGUGAAAAAAUUAGAGUGUUCAAAGCAGGCUUAUGCCGUUGAAUAUAUUAGCAUGGAAUAAUAAGAUAGGACUUUGGUACUAUUUUGUUGGUUUGCGCACCAAAGUAAUGAUUAAUAGGGACAGUUGGGGGUAUUCGUAUUCCGUUGUCAGAGGUGAAAUUCUUGGAUUUACGGAAGACGAACUACUGCGAAAGCAUUUACCAAGGAUGUUUUCAUCA
This 392-nucleotide ribosomal RNA is filed under the name Pierrecomperia sp. RNAcentral describes it as "partial small subunit ribosomal RNA". It matches the Rfam family "Eukaryotic small subunit ribosomal RNA", at positions 582 to 975 of the family's 1831-position model. The record is from RNAcentral. Lineage: Eukaryota; Bacillariophyta; Thalassiosirophyceae; Cymatosirales; Cymatosiraceae.